CGCAACUGUAUGUCACUCAUCUUGAAUGAUUCAGGAACUUACAAUACUGAAUAAUAGCAGCCUACUAUUGGGCAUGAAGAGUUCUGCGGGUUUGUUUUGCUUUUCAAAACGGGCGUGUUUAGAAUUAUUGUCUUUUUUAUUCUACAGAUGCCUCAACGGUCGAUGGAGAAAUGUGCCCGCCUUUGACUGCUUAAUACAAAGUGUUCGGGCUUCAGUGCUGUAAAAUAAUCAAUGGAUUGCAUAAGUCCCAUGCAGAAUAAGAGAAGACAUAGUGGAGACCUGGAGCAGUGGCACAACCAGUCGAAAAGGCAGUGUAAUGGACUCGGAGGCCGUGUCCAGGUGGAAUAUGGUGCGGUAAUGGACACUCCAGUGGACACGCGGGAUACCCAAAAUCACAGCCCUCAAAAUGGACAUGGUGCCAACAUCCCCGGCAUGCAGGUGUUACCCGCCCCAGGACGUGGGGCAGGACAGUAUUGCCCCAGGUGUAUGGCAGGUGAACCUGUGAGUAAUAUUUGAUAUUUUGUGGGUUACAAAUAAUAGUCCCCUCUUCUUUUAUGUCAAAAGGGUGUGUGGAUAACAUGCCACUCUUUAUAAAAUGACACAUUCAUAAAAAACAUUUUGGUGCAAUUUUUACACACACGUUUACUUAGCUAUCUAAAUGAGAACAUUACAUAGACUUCUAUUGUUUUUAUAUACAGAUAGUUAUACACUAUUUAACCUAAACCUAACCCUACCCCUCACAGAAAUAUUUCUGCAUUUUUACAAUUUCAAAAAAACUUUGUUUAUUGGUUUUACAAAUGAGGACGUCCCCAAAUGGAGGUUUUUGGCGAUUUGUGUCAGGUUUUGCUACCUUUUGGGUACAAAUAUGUCCCCAAAAUAUGGUUAAGUUGGUACACACACACUCAAUCUACCCACAGCACUUUCACCGGACGGUGUUGAUACAAGCAAUAUGAUUGCCUUUGGAAAUUGUGUACUUCCUGCAAAUCAAUAUUUAUUCAUGACAAGAAAGAAAUGCACAUUUUGAACGGUUUUCCCGCAGGCCAGAGUACCUACCAGCUGAUCUAACCACUACGACAUGGGAACAGUCAGCAUAUAUGAAUAUCAAUUUGCGUAGGGUUAAUGAACAUUAUACAUACAAUGCAUUGAGUGUUGAGUGAAGUUGACCUGUGUCACAUCAAUGUUUCUCUCUGUCUCUGACAGGGCCAUAUAAACCACAUCAUGAGGUAUUGAUCAGCAUUGCCGAUGGCUCCUGGAGAAAAUGAAUCGACUGAAUAAACGGCCGAUAUAGAGAAGCAAUCUGCAGUUUAUCCGUACCGUGUGGGGUUUUCCCGCAUGCUUUGUGCCUUCCAUGCAUUUCCCUAAUCUCCUCACCUAGUACUGUUUUACCUACAGUAGUAUCUAUUACUGUUUUGUAGCAAUGAGGUUUACAUUACCAAGGACACUCCGGUGAUAGAAAAAGCAAUGAUCGAUGGUGUAGAUCACACUUUUAGUGAAGUGUGUUGAGUGCGUGUUGCAUGGUUUUGAUUUUCAAGAAGGAAUUACUGCUGUAAAUGCAGUGUUAGCAAAGUCAGUGAAACUAUAUGCAUAAAUCUUCUUUUAGACUUUUUCUAAAUAAUGAAAGCAAUUUCAGGAUUAAAUGUUAUUUCACAUGUAGAUUUUUUUAAGUAUGUUCGUGGUUUAAUAUUUCAGUUACAUUUAAUUUGGUCAUUAAUGCCCAGAAAUGUAUGUCAGCUUCAUCGGAAGGAUAUUUUUGUAGAUAUAUUGUGACUGGUUUGUUCUUCUGUUAUUAGAUUUAUCUUUUGUUUUGUUUUCCUUUAAAACCUUAUUGAUUGUUGAAAACAUUUCAGUGCAUUCGGUAAUUUAACCUAUUUGUAUCCUUUUUAAACCAAUCCAGAAUAUUUUGCAUAAAGUCUAAUUUGAUUAAAGAUUUUGUGUUUUGUGUUUUCUUUAGAGUCAAUUCAGGCUCUUCAAAA
Long non-coding RNA from Sinocyclocheilus grahami, 1973 nucleotides. The record is from Ensembl. NCBI's taxonomy places the organism in Eukaryota, Metazoa, Chordata, Actinopteri, Cypriniformes, Cyprinidae.